AUGCGACCACGAACCACGUGGGCGGCGGUGCUCGGGUCCGGCCCGGACGUGCUCGAGGUGGGUACAGGGAUGGGGACGGUGGAGCGUAGGUUGGGUGCGGCCAGCGGUGGAACUCGAACAUGGGCGCCCGUGCGGCGAGCAAGAAAGUCGUCGAGAUCAUCCCAACAGAGCUACUCAGAUAUUCCAGGCCACAAUCCCCAUAAUUUCCAAGAAAAGUUCCCCAUUAAAAGAACGUCUGGCAGUUUGGAUGGCAUCAAUUCUGGAUCGGUUCAUGUUCCAAGCGAUCCCCACUUUCAACCAGCAGGAAGAGCUAAAAGGACAGAUCCAAGCAAAAGGAGGCGGCACCACAAUAUCCUUAUGACAGUGCUCAUAGAUUUUUUUGGGAAAAUAAGCUUGCCCCCAAACAUAUGUCCAAGAGUCAACCGCUACAUCCGGGUGGUUGAGGCUUUCCGGCCUCAAAGCAAGCACUGA
Molecule: ribosomal RNA, 471 nt
Filed under: Triticum aestivum (bread wheat)
Lineage: Eukaryota; Viridiplantae; Streptophyta; Magnoliopsida; Poales; Poaceae
Description: partial small subunit ribosomal RNA
Source: RNAcentral